CUUCGGAGUGACGGAGUUUUAGUUAGUGGCGGACGGGUGAGUAACGCGUGAGUAACCUGCCUCUGAGAGGGGAAUAACGUUCUGAAAAGAACGCUAAUACCGCAUAACAUAUAUUUGCCGCAUGACAGAUAUAUCAAAGAUUUUAUCGCUCAGAGAUGGACUCGCGUCCGAUUAGUUAGUUGGUGAGGUAACGGCUCACCAAGACCGCGAUCGGUAGCCGGACUGAGAGGUUGAUCGGCCACAUUGGGACUGAGACACGGCCCAGACUCCUACGGGAGGCAGCAGUGGGGGAUAUUGCGCAAUGGGGGCAAACCCCUGACGCAGCAACGCCGCGUGAAGGACGAAGGUCUUCGGAUUGUAAACUUCUUUUGUCAGGGACGAAAUUUGACGGUACCUGACGAAUAAGCUCCGGCUAACUACGUGCCAGCCGCCGC
Molecule: ribosomal RNA, 434 nt
Filed under: uncultured bacterium
Lineage: Bacteria
Description: bacterial SSU rRNA
Rfam family: Bacterial small subunit ribosomal RNA
Source: RNAcentral